CGAUUCCCUACGGGGUGCAGCAGGCGCGCAAACUUUACAAUGCGAGCAAUCGUGAUAAGGAAACCCUGAGUGCCUGUCGAUGCAGGCUGUUCAUAUAUCUAAAUCAUAUGUGAAGAAAGGGCAGGGCAAGACCGGUGCCAGCCGCCGCGGUAAUACCGGCUGCUCGAGUGAUGGCCACUAUUACUGGGUUUAAAGCGUCCGUAGCUUGACUGUUAGGUCUCUUGGGAAAUCUUCACGCUCAACGUGAAGGCGUCUAAGAGAUACCGGCAGUCUUGGAACUGGGAGAGGUAAACCGUACUUCGGGGGUAGGAGUGAAAUCUUGUAAUCCUCGAGGGACGACCUAUGGCGAAGGCAGUUUACCAGAACAGCUUCGACAGUGAGGGACGAAAGCUGGGGGAGCAAACGGGAUUAGAUACCCCGGUAGUCCCAGCCGUAAACAAUGUGCGUUAGGUGUGUCGGUAACCACGUGUUACUGAUGCGCCGAAGAGAAAUCGUGAAACGCACCACCUGGGAAGUACGGUCGCAAGGCUGAAACUUAAAGGAAUUGGCGGGGGAGCACCACAACAGGUGGAGCCUGCGGUUUAAUUGGAUUCAACGCCGGACAUCUCACCGGAUAAGACAGCUGAAUGAUUGUCAAUCUGAAGGUUUUACAUGACUAGCUGAGAAGAG
Molecule: ribosomal RNA, 669 nt
Filed under: uncultured archaeon
Lineage: Archaea
Description: bacterial SSU rRNA
Rfam family: Archaeal small subunit ribosomal RNA
Source: RNAcentral